RNAcentral lists this ribosomal RNA (535 nucleotides) under uncultured archaeon. RNAcentral describes it as "bacterial SSU rRNA". It matches the Rfam family "Archaeal small subunit ribosomal RNA", at positions 345 to 879 of the family's 1478-position model. The record is from RNAcentral.
AACCUUUACACUGCACGACAGUGCGAUAAGGGAACUCCGAGUGCGAGGGCAUAGAGCCCUCGCUUUUGUACACCGUAAGGUGGUGCACGAAUAAGGGCUGGGCAAGACCGGUGCCAGCCGCCGCGGUAAUACCGGCAGCCCAAGUGAUGGCCGAUAUUAUUGGGCCUAAAGCGUCCGUAGCUGGCCGGACAAGUCCGUUGGGAAAUCCGCGUGCUCAACGCGCGGGCGUCCAGCGGAAACUGUCCGGCUUGGGGCCGGAAGACCUGAGGGGUACGUCCGGGGUAGGAGUGAAAUCCUGUAAUCUCGGACGGACCGCCUGUGGCGAAAGCGCCUCAGGAAGACGGACCCGACAGUGAGGGACGAAAGCCAGGGUCUCGAACCGGAUUAGAUACCCGGGUAGUCCUGGCUGUAAACGAUGUCCGCUAGGUGUGACGCAGGCUACGGGCCUGCGCUGUGCCGUAGGGAAGCCGUGAAGCGGACCGCCUGGGAAGUACGUCUGCAAGGAUGAAACUUAAAGGAAUUGGCGGGGGAGCAC